GGUCAGCUCAUUUCUUAUCCGAAUUGAUUGAUUCGUCAUAAUAUUCCACCCGAGUUGAAAGUAAGUCGAUUUCAGCUAGGAUUAUGGCUUUUGUCCCGAACGCUAACUUGAAUGGAGUCUCUUCGAUCAGGAUCCAAGGAGCCGUUCAGUAAGCCAUAAGACACUGUAGAGUUCGUCGGCCCAACUUCUUUUGGGUUAAUCGAUUCUCAUUUUUAGGCCUUGCAAAAUCAUCCUGUUGGUCACCUCAUCUUCUCCGUUGGAUUGUGGAUGCUUGAUUGAAGUGAGCUUG
RNAcentral lists this long non-coding RNA (289 nucleotides) under Elaeis guineensis (African oil palm). RNAcentral's name for it is "long non-coding RNA (EGUI_LNC044592)". Lineage: Eukaryota; Viridiplantae; Streptophyta; Magnoliopsida; Arecales; Arecaceae. The record is from RNAcentral.